UGGGGAAUCUGCGCAAUGGGCGAAAGCCUGACGCAGCCAUGCCGCGUGAAUGAUGAAGGUCUUAGGAUUGUAAAGUUCUUUUCGCCUGUGACGAUGAUGACGGUAACAGGAGAAGAAGCCCCGGCUAACUUCGUGCCAGCAGCCGCGGUAAUACGAAGGGGGCUAGCGUUGUUCGGAAUUACUGGGCGUAAAGCGCGCGUAGGCGGCUUUGCAAGCCAGAGGUGAAAUGCCUGAGCUCAACUUAGGAAUCGCCUUUGGGACUGCGAGGCUUCGAGGACUGGAGAGGUGAGUGGAAUUCCCAGUGUAGAGGUGAAAUUCGUAGAUAUUGGGAAGAACACCAGUGGCGAAGGCGGCUCACUGGCCAGUUUCUGACGCUAAAGUGCGAAAGCGUGGGGAUCAAACAGGAUUAGAUACCCACGUAGUCCCUGAGCGGGCUGGCAAGGCGCAU
Molecule: ribosomal RNA, 448 nt
Filed under: uncultured bacterium
Lineage: Bacteria
Description: bacterial SSU rRNA
Rfam family: Bacterial small subunit ribosomal RNA
Source: RNAcentral